Rattus rattus (black rat) is the source of this 1024-nucleotide long non-coding RNA. RefSeq lists it as uncharacterized. The transcript has 3 exons. Lineage: Eukaryota; Metazoa; Chordata; Mammalia; Rodentia; Muridae. The record is from RefSeq and is a predicted model, not a curated record.
UUCCACGUGACUCCUCCUGGGGCCUCCGUCAAAGGGAAGGCGGGGAACACCAAGUGGGUUCGUGCCUCUCGCUUUGUGACUAGACCAUGGGACUGAACCACCCGGUUUGGCUCGGUGACUCAGCCCUGUGUCUGCUACUCGUCUGGAGGUCACCUGGGAGCUGUCCUGAUUAUCAGAUCUAUUAUCGCUGUCCUUGCCUCCAGGUCCAGGAGGCCAGAGGAUGGUAUCGAAUUCCCCGGAAGUGGAGUUAUGGGAAGUUGUGAGCCAUCAUGGGGACGCUGAAAGUCGAACCCAGGUCCUCUGCAAGGGCAGCAAGGGCUCUUAACCGCCGAGCCAUCUCGCCAGUCCCUAAGAGAUUUCGUGUUGUGUUUUUUUUUUUUUUAACAUCCUGAACUUUGAGCUGAUGUAAACGUGUUCAAUAAAACCACAGGAGUCCAUUGCUUCACGCCAAGCCCGGAAAGACUAGACUAUAAUUGAAAGAUGGUAUGACUCACAGCAGCACAUACCUUCAAUCUUUAGUUCCCCUUCAGAGAAACAAACAUGAAGGAGGCUUCUUUUCAAAGAAGCAGUUUUUCAAUGCGCACACCGAUGAAGUUCCUUCGGGGUUUCAUACUUUCACAACCAACUAAGCCAACCAACCAAUCAACAAACGAAAAAAGAUGAAACAAAACCCCCAAAUUAAACUAACCAAAUUCGUUUUUGACCCUGUCUGACAAAGAAAAGAACUGAAACAACUAAACUACCUUCCCUUUCCUUUUGAGACAGGGUCUCGGUCUGUGUCCCAGAUCGGUCUGGAGUUCUAGAAGGUCCAGGAUGCAUAGUCCAGGGUGGCCUGAGUCCCUUUGCGCCAACAGCCUGAGUCCAGGGAUCACAGGCAUGAACACCAGUGCCACACUCACUGUUCCUUACUCCAUUCCUGGUUUUCUGCCCCUAGAUAACUAUGUCCUUCCCCUUGGAACAUUUACUUUAUUUUGAGAAGUGUCUGACUCUAAAACAAAAAGUUUGUCCAACUGAAGACCUUUAA